RNAcentral lists this ribosomal RNA (370 nucleotides) under uncultured organism. RNAcentral describes it as "bacterial SSU rRNA". It matches the Rfam family "Bacterial small subunit ribosomal RNA", at positions 526 to 896 of the family's 1533-position model. The record is from RNAcentral.
CGUAGGGUGCGAGCGUUAAUCGGAAUUACUGGGCGUAAAGCGUGCGCAGGCGGUUUAGCAAGACAGAUGUGAAAUCCCCGGGCUUAACCUGGGAAUUGCAUUUGUGACUGCCCGGCUAGAGUUUGGCAGAGGGGGGUAGAAUUCCACGUGUAGCAGUGAAAUGCGUAGAUAUGUGGAGGAAUACCGAUGGCGAAGGCAGCCCCCUGGGUCAAGACUGACGCUCAUGCACGAAAGCGUGGGGAGCAAACAGGAUUAGAUACCCUGGUAGUCCACGCCCUAAACGAUGUCUACUAGUUGUCGGGUCUUAAUUGACUUGGUAACGCAGCUAACGCGUGAAGUAGACCGCCUGGGGAGUACGGUCGCAAGAUUA